This 507-nucleotide ribosomal RNA is filed under the name uncultured bacterium. RNAcentral's name for it is "partial 16S ribosomal RNA". It matches the Rfam family "Bacterial small subunit ribosomal RNA", at positions 356 to 879 of the family's 1533-position model. The record is from RNAcentral.
GGGGAAUAUUGCACAAUGGGCGAAAGCCUGAUGCAGCAACGCCGCGUGAGUGAUGAAGGUCUUCGGAUUGUAAAGCUCUGUCUUUUGGGACGAUAAUGACGGUACCAAAGGAGGAAGCCACGGCUAACUACGUGCCAGCAGCCGCGGUAAUACGUAGGUGGCGAGCGUUGUCCGGAUUUACUGGGCGUAAAGGGUGCGUAGGCGGAUGUUUAAGUGAGAUGUGAAAUACCCGGGCUUAACUUGGGUGCUGCAUUUCAAACUGGAUAUCUAGAGUGCAGGAGAGGAGAAUGGAAUUCCUAGUGUAGCGGUGAAAUGCGUAGAGAUUAGGAAGAACACCAGUGGCGAAGGCGAUUCUCUGGACUGUAACUGACGCUGAGGCACGAAAGCGUGGGUAGCAAACAGGAUUAGAUACCCUGGUAGUCCACGCCGUAAACGAUGAGUACUAGGUGUAGGAGGCAUCGACCCCUUCUGUGCCGCAGUAAACACAUUAAGUACUCCGCCUGGGAA